Molecule: non-coding RNA, 328 nt
Organism: Paramuricea clavata
Lineage: Eukaryota; Metazoa; Cnidaria; Anthozoa; Malacalcyonacea; Plexauridae
Source: the annotation of a GenBank genome assembly
GCUACUUUAACAUUAAGAAGAACAAAUUAAUAUGGUCAGGCUCAUUAGAGGGCUUGAAGGCUCUGGUACUAACAGAAGUUGACGAAGAUACAGCUCAAAGCACUACAUGGCGCUCGCCCAGUGGUGGGAAAUGGUCUUUUGAAAGCAAAGUGCUGUCAAUUACUUGGCAUUCGAGAAGCGAGUUUUUCUAUUUCGGAGGAUAAAAUUGCAAUGACCUAUUUGAACGAGUACAAUCCUUCUUAGAGCAAAGGGAGACGAAUCUCAGCUGCGAAAGUCACUCGAAAGUUCACUAACGGACGACUCGGAUGACGCAAGUUUUAUCGAUGAC